This 417-nucleotide ribosomal RNA is filed under the name uncultured bacterium. RNAcentral describes it as "bacterial SSU rRNA". It matches the Rfam family "Bacterial small subunit ribosomal RNA", at positions 355 to 787 of the family's 1533-position model. The record is from RNAcentral.
UGGGGAAUAUUGCACAAUGGGGGAAACCCUGAUGCAGCGACGCCGCGUGAAGGAAGAAGUAUCUCGGUAUGUAAACUUCUAUCAGCAGGGAAGAAAAUGACGGUACCUGACUAAGAAGCCCCGGCUAACUACGUGCCAGCAGCCGCGGUAAUACGUAGGGGGCAAGCGUUAUCCGGAUUUACUGGGUGUAAAGGGAGCGUAGACGGCUGUGCAAGUCUGAUGUGAAAGGCAGGGGCUCAACUCCUGGACUGCAUUGGGAAAUCUGUGUAGCUUGAGUGCCGGAGAGGUAAGCGGAAUUCCUAGUGUAGCGGUGAAAUGCGUAGAUAUUGGGAGGAACACCAGUGGCGAAGGCGGCCUACUGGGCACCAACUGACGCUGAGGCUCGAAAGUAUGGGUAGCAAACAGGAUUAGAUACCC